RNAcentral lists this ribosomal RNA (328 nucleotides) under uncultured Neocallimastigales. RNAcentral's name for it is "partial large subunit ribosomal RNA". Lineage: Eukaryota; Fungi; Neocallimastigomycota; Neocallimastigomycetes; Neocallimastigales. The record is from RNAcentral.
GUUGUUUAGUUGAAAAUCAAUUAAAUAAUUUUUGAUUUUAAGUAGUAUUGACUUCAUCAGCUUGCUGCUUUCUUUUCGGAAAUUAUUUAAUGCACUUUUCAGUUAACAAGUCAACAUCAAUUUCUUUUGUUGUAAAAGGGUAAGAGGAAGGUGGCUUACAUUUCGGUGUAAGUGUUUAUAGCCUUUUACCUCUGCAAUCGGAGAGAUUGAGGUCAGCAGCGUAGACUCUUCGGGGUUAGAUACGCUUGUGCUAAGCUAUAGCCUUGUAUAGACAACUUGUUGACUAUACUCAGUCAUGUAGCUUACUCGCUUGUAGUAUUUUACCUAC